This 230-nucleotide unclassified non-coding RNA is filed under the name uncultured fungus. Its description in RNAcentral is "sequence contains ITS2". The stretch from base 1 to 52 matches the Rfam family "5.8S ribosomal RNA", at positions 103 to 154 of the family's 154-position model. Lineage: Eukaryota; Fungi. The record is from RNAcentral.
AACGCACAUUGCGCCCUCUGGUAUUCCGGGGGGCAUGCCUGUUCGAGCGUCAUUAUAACCAAUCACGUAAGUGGUCUUGGGGCUUGCCGUCGGCAUCCCUUAAAAGCAGUGGCAGUGCUAUAGGCUCUCAGCGCAGUAAUUAUUUCGCUCUUGAGCCCUAGAAACACUCGCCAGAACCCCAACUUUCUCAGGUUGACCUCGGAUCAGGUAGGGAUACCCGCUGAACUUAA